GGUAAAAAUAUCAGUCUCUUCUAAAACAGCAGAAACACACGAGUGAGCAAAACUAGGCGGCUGAGGGCAAAAUCAGUAGAAGACACACGAUGAGGGUUUUCAAGAACAAGAACAAAAAUCAUUAGCCAAUGUGAAUCUAAGGGUGCUUUCACCGCUUGUGAUGAUAUGUGAAGCUCUAUUUCUUCUCAAUUAACAUCGUCGUCGCUUGUACGAGUAGUUAAAUCAAGUUUAGGCUGUUGAGAAGGGUCGAGACCCAACACCAAGUGAAAUACAUUUGUACGUCCAUACACAUGGGCAUGAUGGAAAAUCUUUUCUUGAUGAGAAAGCUCGAAUCGUGAAAGAAAGAUAUCAGGAAAUAUUAUGGGAACAAACACAAACUCGAUCUGAUAUUGACCAAUGUAAAGCAUAUUAUGAAGCCGCGAGAGGGGAAAAGAAGAGAAGAUUAUAUGGUCUUGGAUCUCAAGCAAAAUGCUAUUAUGAGCCGAAUCUUCGUGGUUCUUCUGGAUCAGAUGCUUCAUCAUCAAUACCACCUUCGAGUACUCAAUCAACAUCAAUAGGGAAUCUGGAUGAGUUAAUGAUGCGUUUGAUUCCUGCACUAACAGAGCGAUGCGUUUGAUUCCUGCACUAACAGAGCGCAUA
Nicotiana tabacum (common tobacco) is the source of this 639-nucleotide long non-coding RNA. RefSeq lists it as uncharacterized. NCBI's taxonomy places the organism in Eukaryota, Viridiplantae, Streptophyta, Magnoliopsida, Solanales, Solanaceae. The record is from RefSeq and is a predicted model, not a curated record.